Molecule: long non-coding RNA, 677 nt
Organism: Puntigrus tetrazona (Sumatra barb)
Lineage: Eukaryota; Metazoa; Chordata; Actinopteri; Cypriniformes; Cyprinidae
Exons: 2
Source: RefSeq, a predicted model, not a curated record
ACCGGUUAACAAGGGAGAAAAACAAGGUCAGCGAGACACGGGCGGCACGAGUACUUCCUCCCACUCCGCUGCUUGCGUCACCACUCGUGGGCAAGCGGCAACUACGAAAAGACUAUCAAUCAUUGUACUUUUUGAUAUUCACAAAAUUGAACGGCGAACUAUCAAGGAGCCACCAAACAGCAUGCACUUCUGUGAUAGGGAGGGGUCGAGGCAUCGGGUCUGAUAAACCCUUAUCAGGCUUAAUCACCCGUCUCACUCCCGCCCAGACCCUGGCUGCAUGAACUACCCAUGACUCAGCUAAACUCAACAUCAAUGUCUUUAAUGCAUUCAACAUCUUUUUACAUUUUGGGGAAUGUGCCGUUAUGAGAGGUACAUGAUUGCGCUCAGGUCUGUUGGCUCUGUGUGUGGGUGCAGCUGUUAAGUUGCUUCAUUGCGUAUUCUAUUUUCUAAUAAUAAUCAAUCUAAAAAUCAUACACUUAUGUUUUGUUAUUUUAUAUAAUGGUUUAUGAUGAAAAUGUUUGUGCUUUGUUCAAUUUUGUGUCUAAACGGUGACAUAUCGUUAUCAUUAUGUAAUAUGUGUUCGUGUAAAGUGUUUUAUUAAAUGUUUUGUCAAAUAAACACAAUGAUUGAAGAGUCUGGUCGCUUUAGAAUUUAAAAAUUAAAAUUUAUAUCGCUUU